RNAcentral lists this ribosomal RNA (449 nucleotides) under uncultured bacterium. RNAcentral describes it as "partial 16S ribosomal RNA". It matches the Rfam family "Bacterial small subunit ribosomal RNA", at positions 29 to 523 of the family's 1533-position model. The record is from RNAcentral.
AACGAACGCUGGCGGCAUGCCUAACACAUGCAAGUCGAACGAAGCCUUCGGGCUUAGUGGCGCACGGGUGCGUAACGCGUGGGAAUCUGCCCUUUGGUUCGGAAUAACAGUUGGAAACGACUGCUAAUACCGGAUGAUGACGAAAGUCCAAAGAUUUAUCGCCAGAGGAUGAGCCCGCGUAGGAUUAGCUAGUUGGUGUGGUAAAGACGCACCAAGGCGACGAUCCUUAGCUGGUCUGAGAGGAUGAUCAGCCACACUGGGACUGAGACACGGCCCAGACUCCUACGGGAGGCAGCAGUGGGGAAUAUUGGACAAUGGGCGAAAGCCUGAUCCAGCAAUGCCGCGUGAGUGAUGAAGACCCUAGGGUUGUAAAGCUCUUUUACCCGGGAUGAUAAUGACAGUACCGGGAGAAUAAGCCCCGGCUAACUCCGUGACAGCCGCCGCAGUAA